RNAcentral lists this transfer RNA (76 nucleotides) under Sulfurospirillum cavolei. RNAcentral's name for it is "tRNA-Val". It matches the Rfam family "tRNA". From Rfam's summary of the family: Transfer RNA (tRNA) molecules are approximately 80 nucleotides in length. Their secondary structure includes four short double-helical elements and three loops (D, anti-codon, and T loops). Further hydrogen bonds mediate the characteristic L-shaped molecular structure. tRNAs have two regions of fundamental functional importance: the anti-codon, which is responsible for specific mRNA codon recognition, and the 3' end, to which the tRNAs corresponding amino acid is attached (by aminoacyl-tRNA synthetases). tRNAs cope with the degeneracy of the genetic code in two manners: having more than one tRNA (with a specific anti-codon) for a particular amino acid; and 'wobble' base-pairing, i.e. permitting non-standard base-pairing at the 3rd anti-codon position. RNAcentral also lists the same sequence under 3 other names. Lineage: Bacteria; Pseudomonadati; Campylobacterota; Epsilonproteobacteria; Campylobacterales; Sulfurospirillaceae. The record is from RNAcentral.
GGUCGCGUAGCUCAGUUGGUAGAGCACUACCUUGACAUGGUAGUGGUCGAAGGUUCGAAUCCUUUCGUGGCCACCA